GUUUGAUAUGUUUAAUUCGACUUUAAAUUGAAACAUAAUAUAAGUAAAUUAUUUCUUUAUUAACAUUGCCAUAUUUUUAAACUCAAAUUUGAAUUAAAUAAUUUGAUUUUAAUAAUUUCGAAACUCAUACGAUGGAUAUAUGGGUCGGCUCGGGUGGGACCUACGGAGCAAAUGACGUGUCGAAGAUGCUAGGGUAAACGUAAGCCGAAGGCCCGAGACGCAGGGGAUUGCUAAAAAAAAAAAAGAAGCAAAAUUAAAAAAAUAAAAAUAAAAAUUAGUACUCCUUGCUGUCGAGCGAGAAAGAGCGCAGAGCUUCUCCUUUCAGCACUAAUCCAUUCAAUCAGCGAGAGAGGAGAAGAAAAGCGAGCGAUGGGGGAGGGGAAGCGGCAGCAGAUGAUGCAAAACCUCUUCGGCUAUCAGUCGGAGGAAGAAGAAGAGAUCGAUUCCGAACACGAAUCCAACCCUCAACCCAAUUACGCUUCUGUAACUUUUUUUUACUUUCUCUUCUUUUCAUUGUAUUCUUUUUCCUUUUUUAAAGUUGCUAGGUUUUAUUUUUUAACAAGCUCGGUGCUAUAUUUUUUUUAUAAUUAUUUGCUUUUUAAAAUGUUAAUUAAAUAAAAUGAUCGAUUAAUUGUUUUUAUUAGUUUUUUAAAUGAUUGUUAAUGCUGCCUUUUUUUAUUAUUUUGUUUGGAUAAUGCAAAGAUUAGGCUCGACUAAGUUGAUCAUUGGUGUUUGGAUGGUUUUUUGUGUUUAGUUAGGGUCACCUAAAGCUGCAGAUUGGUCUCUUUUUUUUUUUUUUUCAUUUUUCUCUGAAGUUUAACCCAAAUUAGUUAACAGUUGAUUAUGGAAUUCAUAUUUUAAAUACCAAGGUGAUUAUGAAAUCAUUCUUAAUAUGGGGCAAGUAUGCUUAAUACAAUAGGCUAGCGGUGGAUUUUGUUCUAAGUAAAUUAUAGUUUAGAAAGUGAUAAGUUGGUAUUGUGCCCCAUGGGUGAUAAUGGUUUGGAUCCAAUCAGAUUCGAUUCAGUUUUUUAGGGUAAUGUGUAAAAUUA
RNAcentral lists this long non-coding RNA (1049 nucleotides) under Durio zibethinus. Its description in RNAcentral is "long non-coding RNA (DZIB_LNC000116)". The record is from RNAcentral. Lineage: Eukaryota; Viridiplantae; Streptophyta; Magnoliopsida; Malvales; Malvaceae.